UAAGUCCCGCAACGAGCGCAACCCUUGUCAUUAGUUGCUACAUUCAGUUGGGCACUCUAAUGAGACUGCCGGUGACAAACCGGAGGAAGGUGGGGAUGACGUCAAGUCCUCAUGGCCCUUAUAGGUAGGGCUACACACGUCAUACAAUGGAUGGUACAAAGGGUCGCCAACCCGCGAGGGGGAGCCAAUCCCAUAAAACCAUUCGUAGUCCGGAUCGCAGUCUGCAACUCGACUGCGUGAAGUCGGAAUCGCUAGUAAUCGUGGAUCAGAAUGUCACGGUGAAUACGUUCCCGGGUCUUGUACACAC
This 307-nucleotide ribosomal RNA is filed under the name uncultured bacterium. RNAcentral's name for it is "bacterial SSU rRNA". It matches the Rfam family "Bacterial small subunit ribosomal RNA", at positions 1081 to 1390 of the family's 1533-position model. The record is from RNAcentral.